Molecule: small RNA, 117 nt
Filed under: Pongo abelii (Sumatran orangutan)
Lineage: Eukaryota; Metazoa; Chordata; Mammalia; Primates; Hominidae
Description: Metazoan signal recognition particle RNA (ENSPPYG00000035539.1)
Source: Rfam by way of RNAcentral
GCCGGGUGUGGUGGCUCACGCCUGUAAUCCCAGCACUUUGGGGGGCUGAGGUAGGUGGAUCACUUGAGGUCAGGAGUUCAAGACCAGCCUGGCCAACAUGGUGAGAACCCAUCUCUA